CUGUUUCAAUUUGUUGCGGACAAAUGAAAUGUAUGUGUGUAUCGAUUCCACCUGCGGUUACAAUAUAUCCUUUUCCUCCAUGUACUUCUGUAGAAGCUCCGAUAAUCAUAUUGGGUGAAACGCCAUCCAUUGUGUCAGGAUUUCCUGCUUUUCCUAUACCUAUGAUUUUUCCGUCUUUGAUUCCGAUAUCUGCUUUUACAAUUCCCCAGUGAUCAAUGAUAAUGGCACCUGUAAUGCAAAGAUCUAAAACUCCUUCAUCUCUUUUUGAAGUAACGUUUUGACCCAUGCCAUCACGAACAG
This 300-nucleotide small RNA is filed under the name Chryseobacterium sp. 8AT. RNAcentral's name for it is "5_ureB_sRNA". It matches the Rfam family "5' ureB small RNA". Lineage: Bacteria; Pseudomonadati; Bacteroidota; Flavobacteriia; Flavobacteriales; Weeksellaceae. The record is from RNAcentral.